Molecule: ribosomal RNA, 464 nt
Filed under: uncultured Thiobacillus sp.
Lineage: Bacteria; Pseudomonadati; Pseudomonadota; Betaproteobacteria; Nitrosomonadales; Thiobacillaceae
Description: bacterial SSU rRNA
Rfam family: Bacterial small subunit ribosomal RNA
Source: RNAcentral
GACGGGACCCGCACAAGCGUGGAUGAUGUGGAUUAAUUCGAUGCAACGCGAAGAACCUUACUACCCUUGACAUGUCCGGAACUUGCCAGAGAUGGCUUUGGUGCCCGAAAGGGAAUCGGAACACAGGUGCUGCAUGGCUGUCGUCAGCUCGUGUCGUGAGAUGUUGGGUUAAGUCCCGCAACGAGCGCAACCCUUAUCAUUAGUUGCUACGCAAGGGCACUCUAAUGAGACUGCCGGUGACAAACCGGAGGAAGGUGGGGAUGACGUCAAGUCCUCAUGGCCCUUAUGGGUAGGGCUUCACACGUCAUACAAUGGUCGGUACAGAGGGUUGCCAAGCCGCGAGGCGGAGCCAAUCCCACAAAGCCGAUCGUAGUCCGGAUUGUUCUCUGCAACUCGAGAGCAUGAAGUCGGAAUCGCUAGUAAUCGCAGGUCAGCAUACUGCGGUGAAUACGUUCCCGGGUCUU